GGGUUGUGAGGUUAAGCGACUAAGCGUACACGGUGGAUGCCCUGGCAGUCAGAGGCGAUGAAGGACGUGCUAAUCUGCGAUAAGCGUCGGUAAGGUGAUAUGAACCGUUAUAACCGGCGAUUUCCGAAUGGGGAAACCCAGUGUGAUUCGUCACACUAUCAUUAACUGAAUCCAUAGGUUAAUGAGGCGAACCGGGGGAACUGAAACAUCUAAGUACCCCGAGGAAAAGAAAUCAACCGAGAUUCCCCCAGUAGCGGCGAGCGAACGGGGAGCAGCCCAGAGCCUGAAUCAGUGUGUGUGUUAGUGGAAGCGUCUGGAAAGGCGCGCGAUACAGGGUGACAGCCCCGUACACAAAAAUGCACAUGCUGUGAGCUCGAUGAGUAGGGCGGGACACGUGGUAUCCUGUCUGAAUAUGGGGGGACCAUCCUCCAAGGCUAAAUACUCCUGACUGACCGAUAGUGAACCAGUACCGUGAGGGAAAGGCGAAAAGAACCCCGGCGAGGGGAGUGAAAAAGAACCUGAAACCGUGUACGUACAAGCAGUGGGAGCACAGAGCAAUCUGUGUGACUGCGUACCUUUUGUAUAAUGGGUCAGCGACUUAUAUUCUGUAGCAAGGUUAACCGAAUAGGGGAGCCGAAGGGAAACCGAGUCUUAACUGGGCGUUAAGUUGCAGGGUAUAGACCCGAAACCCGGUGAUCUAGCCAUGGGCAGGUUGAAGGUUGGGUAACACUAACUGGAGGACCGAACCGACUAAUGUUGAAAAAUUAGCGGAUGACUUGUGGCUGGGGGUGAAAGGCCAAUCAAACCGGGAGAUAGCUGGUUCUCCCCGAAAGCUAUUUAGGUAGCGCCUCGUGAAUUCAUCUCCGGGGGUAGAGCACUGUUUCGGCAAGGGGGUCAUCCCGACUUACCAACCCGAUGCAAACUGCGAAUACCGGAGAAUGUUAUCACGGGAGACACACGGCGGGUGCUAACGUCCGUCGUGAAGAGGGAAACAACCCAGACCGCCAGCUAAGGUCCCAAAGUCAUGGUUAAGUGGGAAACGAUGUGGGAAGGCCCAGACAGCCAGGAUGUUGGCUUAGAAGCAGCCAUCAUUUAAAGAAAGCGUAAUAGCUCACUGGUCGAGUCGGCCUGCGCGGAAGAUGUAACGGGGCUAAACCAUGCACCGAAGCUGCGGCAGCGACGCUGAUGCGUUGUUGGGUAGGGGAGCGUUCUGUAAGCCUGCGAAGGUGUGCUGUGAGGCAUGCUGGAGGUAUCAGAAGUGCGAAUGCUGACAUAAGUAACGAUAAAGCGGGUGAAAAGCCCGCUCGCCGGAAGACCAAGGGUUCCUGUCCAACGUUAAUCGGGGCAGGGUGAGUCGACCCCUAAGGCGAGGCCGAAAGGCGUAGUCGAUGGGAAACAGGUUAAUAUUCCUGUACUUGGUGUUACUGCGAAGGGGGGACGGAGAAGGCUAUGUUGGCCGGGCGACGGUUGUCCCGGUUUAAGCGUGUAGGCUGGUUUUCCAGGCAAAUCCGGAAAAUCAAGGCUGAGGCGUGAUGACGAGGCACUACGGUGCUGAAGCAACAAAUGCCCUGCUUCCAGGAAAAGCCUCUAAGCAUCAGGUAACAUCAAAUCGUACCCCAAACCGACACAGGUGGUCAGGUAGAGAAUACCAAGGCGCUUGAGAGAACUCGGGUGAAGGAACUAGGCAAAAUGGUGCCGUAACUUCGGGAGAAGGCACGCUGAUAUGUAGGUGAAGUCCCUCGCGGAUGGAGCUGAAAUCAGUCGAAGAUACCAGCUGGCUGCAACUGUUUAUUAAAAACACAGCACUGUGCAAACACGAAAGUGGACGUAUACGGUGUGACGCCUGCCCGGUGCCGGAAGGUUAAUUGAUGGGGUCAGCGCAAGCGAAGCUCUUGAUCGAAGCCCCGGUAAACGGCGGCCGUAACUAUAACGGUCCUAAGGUAGCGAAAUUCCUUGUCGGGUAAGUUCCGACCUGCACGAAUGGCGUAAUGAUGGCCAGGCUGUCUCCACCCGAGACUCAGUGAAAUUGAACUCGCUGUGAAGAUGCAGUGUACCCGCGGCAAGACGGAAAGACCCCGUGAACCUUUACUAUAGCUUGACACUGAACAUUGAGCCUUGAUGUGUAGGAUAGGUGGGAGGCUUUGAAGUGUGGACGCCAGUCUGCAUGGAGCCGACCUUGAAAUACCACCCUUUAAUGUUUGAUGUUCUAACGUUGACCCGUAAUCCGGGUUGCGGACAGUGUCUGGUGGGUAGUUUGACUGGGGCGGUCUCCUCCUAAAGAGUAACGGAGGAGCACGAAGGUUGGCUAAUCCUGGUCGGACAUCAGGAGGUUAGUGCAAUGGCAUAAGCCAGCUUGACUGCGAGCGUGACGGCGCGAGCAGGUGCGAAAGCAGGUCAUAGUGAUCCGGUGGUUCUGAAUGGAAGGGCCAUCGCUCAACGGAUAAAAGGUACUCCGGGGAUAACAGGCUGAUACCGCCCAAGAGUUCAUAUCGACGGCGGUGUUUGGCACCUCGAUGUCGGCUCAUCACAUCCUGGGGCUGAAGUAGGUCCCAAGGGUAUGGCUGUUCGCCAUUUAAAGUGGUACGCGAGCUGGGUUUAGAACGUCGUGAGACAGUUCGGUCCCUAUCUGCCGUGGGCGCUGGAGAACUGAGGGGGGCUGCUCCUAGUACGAGAGGACCGGAGUGGACGCAUCACUGGUGUUCGGGUUGUCAUGCCAAUGGCACUGCCCGGUAGCUAAAUGCGGAAGAGAUAAGUGCUGAAAGCAUCUAAGCACGAAACUUGCCCCGAGAUGAGUUCUCCCUGACUCCUUGAGAGUCCUGAAGGAACGUUGAAGACGACGACGUUGAUAGGCCGGGUGUGUAAGCGCAGCGAUGCGUUGAGCUAACCGGUACUAAUGAACCGUGAGGCUUAACCUUACAACGCCGAAGGUGUUU
Molecule: ribosomal RNA, 2933 nt
Filed under: Escherichia coli
Lineage: Bacteria; Pseudomonadati; Pseudomonadota; Gammaproteobacteria; Enterobacterales; Enterobacteriaceae
Description: 23S ribosomal RNA
Rfam family: Bacterial large subunit ribosomal RNA
Source: RNAcentral